AGGGAAUCUUCCGCAAUGGGCGAAAGCCUGACGGAGCAACGCCGCGUGAGUGAUGAAGGUCUUCGGAUCGUAAAACUCUGUUAUUAGGGAAGAACAAAUGUGUAAGUAACUAUGCACGUCUUGACGGUACCUAAUCAGAAAGCCACGGCUAACUACGUGCCAGCAGCCGCGGUAAUACGUAGGUGGCAAGCGUUAUCCGGAAUUAUUGGGCGUAAAGCGCGCGUAGGCGGUUUUUUAAGUCUGAUGUGAAAGCCCACGGCUCAACCGUGGAGGGUCAUUGGAAACUGGAAAACUUGAGUGCAGAAGAGGAAAGUGGAAUUCCAUGUGUAGCGGUGAAAUGCGCAGAGAUAUGGAGGAACACCAGUGGCGAAGGCGACUUUCUGGUCUGUAACUGACGCUGAUGUGCGAAAGCGUGGGGAUCAAACAGGAUUAGAUACCCUGGUAGUCCACGCCGUAAACGAUGAGUGCUAAGUGUUAGGGGGUUUCCGCCCCUCAGUGCUGCAGCUAACGCAUUAAGCACUCCGCCUGGGGAGUACGACCGCAAGGUUG
This 549-nucleotide ribosomal RNA is filed under the name uncultured bacterium. Its description in RNAcentral is "bacterial SSU rRNA". It matches the Rfam family "Bacterial small subunit ribosomal RNA", at positions 356 to 896 of the family's 1533-position model. The record is from RNAcentral.